This 627-nucleotide long non-coding RNA is filed under the name Marmota monax (woodchuck). The record is from RNAcentral. Lineage: Eukaryota; Metazoa; Chordata; Mammalia; Rodentia; Sciuridae.
CCUGAAUGGGUGGCAGCUGAUUGAGGAGAGAAUUUCCAGAAGGGAGAUGGAGCAAACAGAGACCCCUAAAAAGCCCGUAAGUGUUCAGCUGUGGCCUUUGAGGCUGCAGUUAGAGUAGAAGAUGGUGAGUGGGGAAGUCCAUUAAGAACAGAGCCCAUCAUCCGAGUUACCAGGAGUCGCUCACUCAUCUCCUAGGCACGCGAUAUCCUUCCAUCUAUGUCAUGAUUUGAAUCUGCUGUGAUCUUCACUGGCUUUUCCCUGUUAUGUGGUGUCUCUGGUCAGUACAGUCCUUUAAAGCUGUAAUUAGAACUUGUCUUGUACCUAGGCACAUAGUAGGACCUCAGAAAAUAUUUGUUUGAGUGGAAUUGCAUCUGUCCGUAAAACGGGAGCUGUUAUAAGAGGAGAAACUGACCACCACUCCCAGGGAGAAAGGGGCUCGAAUGGUCUGAUUCUCAAGUCGCUGGAACACUUGUGAAGGAGCCUGAGCCAUUUACUGGAAAGAGUGCUGGAGUGAAAGCAGGCGUCCUGGGUGGACUCUGCCCUUCUCAGCACCAAUUCCCACCCUGGACACGCACAUUUUCUGGAACCAAGCAUAAUAAAGCUCAGUAUGUGUUUCAUUUUAUGAAU